GAUGAACGCUGGCGGCGUGCUUAACACAUGCAAGUCGAACGAUGAAGCCCAGCUUGCUGGGUGGAUUAGUGGCGAACGGGUGAGUAACACGUGAGUAACCUGCCCUUAACUCUGGGAUAAGCCUGGGAAACUGGGUCUAAUACCGGAUAGGAGCGUCCACCGCAUGGUGGGUGUUGGAAAGAUUUAUCGGUUUUGGAUGGACUCGCGGCCUAUCAGCUUGUUGGUGAGGUAAUGGCUCACCAAGGCGACGACGGGUAGCCGGCCUGAGAGGGUUACCGGCCACACUGGGACUGAGACACGGCCCAGACUCCUACGGGAGGCAGCAGUGGGGAAUAUUGCACAAUGGGCGCAAGCCUGAUGCAGCGACGCCGCGUGAGGGAUGACGGCCUUCGGGUUGUAAACCUCUUUCAGUAGGGAAGAAGCGAAAGUGACGGUACCUGCAGAAGAAGCACCGGCUAACUACGUG
This 466-nucleotide ribosomal RNA is filed under the name uncultured bacterium. RNAcentral describes it as "partial 16S ribosomal RNA". It matches the Rfam family "Bacterial small subunit ribosomal RNA", at positions 28 to 507 of the family's 1533-position model. The record is from RNAcentral.